UAGGGAAUCUUCGGCAAUGGACGAAAGUCUGACCGAGCAACGCCGCGUGAGUGAAGAAGGUUUUCGGAUCGUAAAACUCUGUUGUUAGAGAAGAACAAGGACGUUAGUAACUGAACGUCCCCUGACGGUAUCUAACCAGAAAGCCACGGCUAACUACGUGCCAGCAGCCGCGGUAAUACGUAGGUGGCAAGCGUUGUCCGGAUUUAUUGGGCGUAAAGCGAGCGCAGGCGGUUUCUUAAGUCUGAUGUGAAAGCCCCCGGCUCAACCGGGGAGGGUCAUUGGAAACUGGGAGACUUGAGUGCAGAAGAGGGGAGUGGAAUUCCAUGUGUGGCGGUGAAAUGCGUAGAUAUAUGGAGGAACACCAGUGGCGAAGGCGGAUCUCUGGUCUGUAACUGACGCUGAGGCUCGAAAGCGUGGGGAGCAAACAGG
RNAcentral lists this ribosomal RNA (429 nucleotides) under Gemmatimonadota bacterium. RNAcentral's name for it is "Gemmatimonadetes bacterium partial 16S ribosomal RNA". It matches the Rfam family "Bacterial small subunit ribosomal RNA", at positions 355 to 776 of the family's 1533-position model. Lineage: Bacteria; Pseudomonadati; Gemmatimonadota. The record is from RNAcentral.